GCCGAGAAUGGUGGUGUAUUCCUGUAAUCCAACUACUUGGAGGGUAGGUACAGAGGAUGUUUUAGAGGCGGGAAUUCUGAAGAGGGAUUUCCCACGUUUACUAGGCGUCAAUCUUGGGAGUGGGAGUUCAAUUUAUUCAAAACAAGAACAGCCCUGACCUGU
This 162-nucleotide non-coding RNA is filed under the name Pediculus humanus corporis (human body louse). The record is from RNAcentral. Lineage: Eukaryota; Metazoa; Arthropoda; Insecta; Psocodea; Pediculidae.